Cyanistes caeruleus (blue tit) is the source of this 172-nucleotide unclassified non-coding RNA. NCBI's taxonomy places the organism in Eukaryota, Metazoa, Chordata, Aves, Passeriformes, Paridae. The record is from Ensembl.
CUGGCACGAUAUGGGACUGAGCUCCUCAAUUUGUCCAAAGUACAUGUAUCUUGAAGGCAGUGCAAUUUUCCAUAAGCUAUCUUGUCAACAUGUCUCAAUCCUGACCUGCUUAUGGCACCUCCAGAGAGGAGCACACUAUUCAGCCCCCAUGUUCAUUCAGUCCUUGGCUGAG